This is a long non-coding RNA of Hydra vulgaris (swiftwater hydra), 462 nucleotides long. RefSeq lists it as uncharacterized. The record is from RefSeq and is a predicted model, not a curated record. Lineage: Eukaryota; Metazoa; Cnidaria; Hydrozoa; Anthoathecata; Hydridae.
UUCUAAAAUAUGACUUCAGAAAAUGGUGAGCAUGAAAAAUGGUGAAAAUGGUGGACAGAAAAAUGGACAGAAAAAUGGUGGCAUGUGAUUCGCAAAAGGCACAAAGGUUUAACUUGAGAUCAACCAGAAGAUACAGCAGAUAUUAGAUAUCAAUAAACCGCAAAACAUUUGGAAUUUGGAUGAGACUGGGAAGCAGUUUGAUUAUCGACUUGGAAAAACAGUUUCUAAAAAAGGAUUAAGUAUCUACAAUAUUGUCAAUCAGGUAACUGGGAAACAAUGAGAGUAAUAACUUUGUUACCAAUUUCAUUUAAAAAAAAAAACUACUAAUUCUCUGUGGUUGGACAAAGCAAGGCAUUGUAUUUCUAUGGUUUACAAAGACAUUUUGUUCCGGAAAAUUUUGAUUUUUAUAAAUAUAUAUGAAUUUGUUUACUCUUACAAUAUAAUAAAGCUCUUGUUUUUUAA